GAUGAACGCUGGCGGCGUGCCUAAUACAUGCGAGUCGAGCGAACAGACGAGGAGCUUGCUCCUCUGACGUUAGCGGCGGACGGGUGAGUAACACGUGGAUAACCUACCUAUAAGACUGGGAUAACUUCGGGAAACCGGAGCUAAUACCGCAUAAUAUAUUGAACCGCAUGGUUCAAUAGUGAAAGACGGUUUUGCUGUCACUUAUAGAUGGAUCCGCGCCGCAUUAGCUAGUUGGUAAGGUAACGGCUUACCAAGGCAACGAUGCGUAGCCGACCUGAGAGGGUGAUCGGCCACACUGGAACUGAGACACGGUCCAGACUCCUACGGGAGGCAGCAGUAGGGAAUCUUCCGCAAUGGGCGAAAGCCUGACGGAGCAACGCCGCGUGAGUGAUGAAGGUCUUCGGAUCGUAAAGCUCUGUUAUUAGGGAAGAACAAAUGUGUAAGUAACUAUGCACGUCUUGACGGUACCUAAUCAGAAAGCCACGGCUAACUACGUG
RNAcentral lists this ribosomal RNA (497 nucleotides) under uncultured bacterium. RNAcentral's name for it is "partial 16S ribosomal RNA". It matches the Rfam family "Bacterial small subunit ribosomal RNA", at positions 28 to 507 of the family's 1533-position model. The record is from RNAcentral.